Molecule: long non-coding RNA, 1743 nt
Organism: Oncorhynchus tshawytscha (Chinook salmon)
Lineage: Eukaryota; Metazoa; Chordata; Actinopteri; Salmoniformes; Salmonidae
Source: Ensembl
GUAAUUUUUGGGCAGGUUAAUACAUCAAUAUAUAAUAUAAGGGAAAAUAAAGUCUGACAUUUCUAAGUGGAAAUUCCAAAUACAUGUUAAACCUAAAAUACACUACACAUUUUAAAUGUCCUGCAUUGCAGAAAAGUUCUGCAACAGGGUGAUCAAAUUAAAAUCCUACACCUGUAAAAUGGGUCAGAUUUAAGGUGUGACCCCUAAGGGUCCUAUGUAGGGAACAGGGUGCCAGGUGCCAUUAGAGACGGACCCCUAGGGGCCCUAUGUAGGGAACAGGGUGCCAUUAGAGACCAUCCCCUAAGGGCCCUAUGUAGGGAACAGGGUUCCAUUAGAGACUGACACCUAAGGGCCCUAUGUAGGGAACAGGGUCCCAUUAGAGACUGACCCCUAAGGGCCCUAUGUAGGGAAGAGGGUGCCAUUAGAGACUGACCCAUGGUUCCUCUCCUCCCUGGCCAUUAGAGACUGACCCAUAGUUCCUCUCUCUUCCCUGGCCAUUAGAGACUGACCCAUGGUUCCUCUCUCCUUCCUGGCCAUUAGAGACUGACCCAUGGUUCCUUUCUGGACACAUCUGUUUUCAUCUUCACACGACCCUCACAGCUCUAUUUUUCCAGUGAGAUAUACAGCUAGAGCUAUUUUUCAAUGUCAAAAUGUACUAAUAUACUGUUACGGACCAAAAACGUUGUUAGUUAGUGUGCGGUUAACUAGUAGUAGUAGUGCCCAGAAUAGAGCCAGCUGUGUGUAAGGCUCUAAGGGAAAACAGAAUAGAACCAGCUGUGUAUAAGGCUCUAAGGGAAAACAGAAUAGAACCAGCAGUGUCUAAGGCUCUAAGGGAAAACAGAAUAGAACCAGCUGUGUGUAAGGCUCUAAGGGAAAACAGAAUAGAACCAGCUGUGUAUAAGGCUCUAAGGGAAAACAGAAUAGAACCAGCAGUGUAUAAGGCUCUAAGGGAAAACAGAAUAGAACCAGCAGUGUCUAAGGCUCUAAGGGAAAACAGAAUAGAACCAGCAGUGUGUAAGGCUCUAAGGGAAAACAGAAUAGAACCAGCAGUGUCUAAGGGAAAACAGAAUAGAACCAGCAGUGUAUAAGGCUCUAAGGGAAAACAGAAUAGAACCAGCUGUGUGUAAGGCUCUAAGGGAAAACAGAAUAGAACCAGCUGUGUGUAAGGCUCUAAGGGAAAACAGAAUAGAACCAGCAGUGUCUAAGGGAAAACAGAAUAGAACCAGCAGUGUGUAAGGCUCUAAGGGAAAACAGAAUAGAACCAGCAGUGUAUAAGGCUCUAAGGGAAAACAGAAUAGAACCAGCAGUGUAUAAGGCUCUAAGGGAAAACAGAAUAGAACCAGCAGUGUAUAAGGCUCUAGGGAAAACAGAAUAGAACCAGCUGUGUGUAAGGCUCUAAGGGAAAACAGAAUAGAACCAGCAGUGUCUAAGGGAAAACAGAAUAGAACCAGCUGUGUGUAAGGGAAAACAGAAUAGAACCAGCAGUGUGUAAGGCUCUAAGGGAAAACAGAAUAGAACCAGCAGUGUCUAAGGGAAAACAGAAUAGAACCAGCUGUGUGUAAGGCAUGUAAUGCGACUGCGUUGCCGUUAGUCGUCAGUGCAGACGCCCGUCUCUCCUAAGACCAGGAAUGCACUUCAUACAUUUUUUUUAUUUUUUAUUUAUUUAACCUUUAUUUAACUAGGCAAGAUCAGUUAAGAACAAAUUCUUAUUUUCAAUGACGGCCUGGGAACAGUGGGUUAACU